UCCCCUGUGGCUCAGUUGGUAGAGCAUGGUGUGUGCAACGCCAGGGUUGUGGGUUCGAUUCCCACGGGGGGCC
This is a non-coding RNA of Salmo salar (Atlantic salmon), 73 nucleotides long. Lineage: Eukaryota; Metazoa; Chordata; Actinopteri; Salmoniformes; Salmonidae. The record is from Rfam.